RNAcentral lists this ribosomal RNA (253 nucleotides) under uncultured bacterium. Its description in RNAcentral is "partial 16S ribosomal RNA". It matches the Rfam family "Bacterial small subunit ribosomal RNA", at positions 524 to 776 of the family's 1533-position model. The record is from RNAcentral.
UACAGAGGGUGCAAGCGUUAAUCGGAAUUACUGGGCGUAAAGCGUGCGUAGACGGUUACAUAAGUCGGGUGUGAAAGCCCCGGGCUCAACCUGGGAAUUGCAUUCGAGACUGCGUAGCUAGGGUGCGGAAGAGGGAAGCGGAAUUUCCGGUGUAGCGGUGAAAUGCGUAGAGAUGUGGAGGAACACCAGUGGCGAAGGCGGCUUUCUGGUCUGUAACUGACGCUGAGGCGCGAAAGCUAGGGGAGCAAACAGG